Molecule: non-coding RNA, 426 nt
Organism: Coffea arabica (coffee)
Lineage: Eukaryota; Viridiplantae; Streptophyta; Magnoliopsida; Gentianales; Rubiaceae
Source: RefSeq, a predicted model, not a curated record
UAUGGACUCAUUUGUCAGUUGAGUGGUCCCAAGUCAACCUUCAUCCACAUUAUACUUGUUUUUGAAGGGAACUAUUGUACUUUUCUUUAUUUAUUUUUUAAUCUGAAUGUCUUCUACUAGUGGAGGAUGGUAUAGCAUUUUUGGAGACCUUGUCGAGUUUGCAAAAUUGUGGGCAUGACAAAGGAUUGGUUUGGAUGUUGAAAUGAGGCCUAUGAUGAGCCCAGCCAGACUUCUAUUUACCAUGAAGUGUCAAAAUGAUAACCGAAAUUUCAGUUACUUUUCAUAAACAGUGAAGUGCCUGAAAUUUGUUUGACAUAACUAAAAUUGAGAUACGUGUAUUGCAGUGCUCAAAGGUUAAGCUUACAAUUAAUCUUGACAUUCAGGGUUCAACUUUUGCCAUUUGGAAAUAACUUUUUGGGAAAUGCA